CACAUUCCCAAGCCAACUCUUAACCAACGCGCCACUCGGCCGGCCCAAUGUUUACUAUUGUCAUUACAUCACAGACCUUCCUUUAUCGUCCUCUCGCCCAGUAGAAUGCAAGCUCCCUGAGAGCAGUCUUUUGUCUGUUUUGUCUACUGCACAGUAGCUGUGCUGUUGAAUGAAUGAGCAAACGGCUGGCUGACGUAUUUUCCUUAUUGAAUGCCCUCCUGGAAGCCUCCCGGGAAGAAGAGUUAAUGAAGGAUGGAAGUGACCCUGUGCCUUCCCGACGACAUGGUCCGCUCGCCCUCGAGGAGGAGUCACUGGUCUUCUAAUCAGGGGCCCUGCAGGUUUGGAGCUCGGUGGACCCUCUGUGGUCACAGUACUUUCGGAGAAUGUGAAACAGCCACUCUCUUCUCGAAAUCCCAACUCGGGACUUCCUGAAGGCGAGCCUAGCUUUGGGGUAGGACCUCAGUGUCUGUCCUUCUAGGGUAAGACACCCAAUUUGCGGUGCAUGUGCUCAUGGCCUCACCACUACCCAUGUCUGGCUGACGCCAGCUCAGGGGAUGGUCCCUCGUGCCAUUUGAGCUGUGCAUGGUACUCUCUCAUGACAAAUCAUGUUCCACUUACAUGUGGGGGGUUCCUGGGAUAUAGUGCCAGCCUCUGCAGAGACAGAGGAAUUGGUGUCAGCACCAGUUGGGGUGAGGGGCACACAGCCAGACCCUGGAGGCAGUGCUGCCUUCGGUGAAGAGGUGCCUAGGUGGUCUCGCCCGUGCUGACGUUUGAGCCUUGAGCAGAGGUUGCCCUUGGUGAAUUCGCUUUGUUUAUGUUGAAUCACACAAAGGCAACUUUUGUUUGAGUAUCAAAUCUUGCUGGGAUGGCUUCCGGGACCCGGUGGCAAGCUCAGGGUCUCUGCCUCUCCCAUGAACAAGACCGGAUGGUGUAGGUGGGUGUCUGCACCUCCAGUGGAUGAGAACGGAGGGUGACCAGAGGACACCAGCUCGAUUCAUGGUGCAGCUCACCUGGGGUGUGUGAGGACGGCGUCGAUGCUGAACCUGCUUCACUUAUGACCAGGGACCCUCUUUACACCACCGUUUUGACCAUUGAUCUGAAAGACCUCUGCCACUGUUUCUCCGAAGGUAUUUUGACCUUGUGGGUAAGGAAAAAAAAGUUACACUCCACCGUUUGAAAGGCUGCAGCUUCUCAUUCUGUUUCUCUCUCUGCCUCUCUCAGAAACCCCUCUUGUGUUCUUUAUCUUUGUGACUUUUCCCCUCUCUCACUCCUCUCUCUCCCUGCCUCUUUCUCUCUCUUUCUAUCCCCUGCCAAACAGCGUUCUCAAUUUUCUCAUGGGUUAUGAAAUGAAUAGAAUCUAUUAGUAUUCCAUCCCAUUUGUAUUAAAUUAUAGUGAUAAAAAUAAUCAACACAAAGUAAAACUAAAAACAACUGAAAUGGCACAGAGUAAAACAUGUUCAAUUGCCUACAAAUUGGCAGAAGAAUCCAAUUUUUCUGACAGCAUUUCAGCGGCCACAUUUGACCUGGGGAAAUAGAAAGCUGUAGACAUGGUGGCCGCAGGAGGAAAUUGACGGUGGCAGCAGCUCCGAACGGAGAUAUUUGAUGUAGACAAAAGCACAUGGAGAAAUCAAAUCUGCAUUCAGAUUUUUAAAUGGAAAAGAAUUGAUUCUAAUGAAAAUGAUUUUGGGAAAAUAACAAGGGAAAUAAAAGAAAUGAAAACAGCCCAACAGCACAGUCAGGAAAGCUAAACAGGGAAUUGGAUUAGUGUAAUGGAAUUCACUCUGAAAAACACAUUUUUAUGAAAAUCAGUGUUGGCACAGUUCUCAUUAAGAUGGUUGAAUCCGUAUGUGUUUGGAGUGGAGUCGAUGGGUCAGUAGGAACAUGGGGUCAGAGCCCACUGUCCUUUACUGCUGCUGACAUUCUGUUUCUGUCCCAAAUCUUCCCAGAGUGCUUCUGGGAUGGGCAUUCUGACUUCAGGGGUGACACACUGGUCAAGUGGGUGCACUGGACCAGAGCGUGUGCCAUCUGGGUGGCGUGCAUCACUUGGUCGGCUCUCUCUUGGUAUCCCUCCAUCCCCUGGGGUUCUGGGUGGCACGCUGAUCCCAAGUGAGACAGACAGCCUAGGUCAGUGGGGUCUGGGCCUCCAGGACAGCUGCGUCCAGCACUGGUGUUGAACACACAGGGCGGCUAGGACAUUCCCAGCUGUUAUCCUUCUUUGGACCCAGUGUUGGCACCUCUCAGAGAGCCAUGCUGACCCCAAGGACAUGCUCCUCAUUGGUGCACAUGUCACUUGGUCAUAGAGGCUGAGCCUUGUUUGGGAGGUAGUCUUGGGGUUGGUGCUUCUGGGAUUGAAAUCAUGGCCUGGGGUGUGAAGAGAGCUUGUUCUUGGCUGGCAUGAACGCUGCAUGGUGGGUCUCUUUCCAGGUCAGCCGCUGACUUGGAGGACUUCCAGAAGCCAUGCCACCCUCAGGAGGUGGCCAGCAGGGGGAGCCCUCCCCAGGGUAGGUGCAUGGGGGUGGCCCUAGGACAUGCCCUGACUGUGUUGGUGAUGUAUGUCAUCUGGUCCACUAGCCGGCGCUGUCCAGCCCGUUCUCAUGAGCACUUCUGGAGGUGAUGCGAUGGCAGCUCGGGGAGAGAGCCCGCAUGGCAGGGCCGCUCCGGGAGGCGCCCGUCGUUGCUGCGGCAGCCACAGUCCCUGGGUCAGCGUUACUUUGGGUACUUGAGGAGAGGUUGUCUGUGAUGAGUUCGCUUUAUUAAUGACGAAUAUAACACAGAUGGCCUGUUUUCAUUACCACCCACACCUUGUGCGCAGGGCCAGGCCUGAGGCUGGCCACCUCUAGGGUUGCCUGUGAGGUGUUCACUUUCUACACGAUGAAUAUUAUACAGUCAACCUCUUCCCGGUAUCGACUCCCGCCGUGGACGACCUCCACUUCAGGUGCUGACUCCAGGCGGCAGAAGCCCCUGUGUCGUUGACCCGUGGACUUGGCGUAGGACCUGGGCCACGUGGCCUGUUAUUUUCCAGCUCCACCUGUUCCGGAGGGAUUCCCAAAGCACCACGGAGCGGCCUCCCUGGUUCCGGAGUCGGUGGUUCCCGACGUCCGUGUUCCUGACACUUCCCUCUUCACUGGGCACCCUGGCCCUGCCCCAGCCCUGUCCAGACCACGUCAGGGUCACCUGGCGGAGGAAAAAGGUCCCGGGUCAUGGAAAGGUGAACUCCAAGAACACCUCCAAAGGAUAAGCCUGGCAGUCUGGUAUUUGCUCAUGGUCUCCUGGGCCUCAGGAAGCCCCCUCUGAGCAGGACUGCCAUCUCCAGCUCCGUGUACACCUUUUCCCUGGGGCUUACUCGGGCCAAGGAUCCCUCUGUGCCCAGUGUGUGGGGAGGGGCUGCCCCACCUAGUGUCCCAAGGCCCCACCUGGCCACCCUCAGUCCCUGCACUCCCUUCCUCGCGUGAUUCACAGUAUGUCCCCUGUUUGUGUCCAUCCAUCCUCCUUUGGGAGCUGGAUCCUGGGUGGCCCCAUCUGUGCACGUGGCUGUCAGCCUCCUCCUGUCCAGGAUCUAGGCCUCCCUUCCUUGGCCCCCACCCUCACGCCCCACGUCCCCCUUUCUCGGGACACUCAGCACAGUCUCUUGCUCACGCCCCUUUUCCCCCAAGGAGCCCCUUUUCCAGAGUAGGGCUUCUGGGUGCUGGAGGGGAGGAAAUGUCUGUUGCUCAGCAAGGCUGUCUCUGAUCAACCGGCCUCUCCCUGUCACUUUUUGUCCCCGUUAUCAUUUUCAUCCUCGCUUACUGCUAUCCAAAAGUACCUGGUGUUAACGCUUAUUUUUUCUCUCCCCCUAAACUGUAAGAUUUCUCAGGGUGGGUUUUUUUUUGUCCUGUGGGACGCAGGAGGCCCACAGUAGAGGAGCUCUGAGUGUUUAUUGACUAACAAACGCAGGGGCCUUACCAGGUUAAUCCCAGGAAAGAGCCAGGCACAAAGGAGGUACCCAGGAAGACGUGAGGCACACAUGAACAUGAUAACCAGUUCUUAGAAAUUCUUCACGUUCAUUGAAAGCUGUUUGGUUUCAGCUUUUUCUGCCCCUUCGAGGAUGUCAUUUGAGAGUCUGAAGUUUGCUGCAACAGGGGCAGGUCAGCUGGGUCUGGGCUCUUCUCUCCAGUUUCUAGGGGGUCCCCUGGGACCCCCAAAAGAGUGAUGAGCCCCAGUAUAGCCCUGCAGACACCAAUUGAGCACUCCCAAGCCUUCCAGUAAAUUCUACAGCGCUCCGAGCUGGCUGCUCUGGGGAACUCCAUCUCCAACAGGCUGGAGCAUGGUGUCAGAGCUAAUAUUUUAUGCAUGGAACUACUAAAUGGGGACAUUUGGAGAUGAAAAUUGCUGUUAAUGCAUUGACACAUCUUUGGAAUAUAUUAAAUAUAUGUGUGGGGGCAGGAGGCACCGUUAGCCUUAUUUAAUGGCUCCAGUGGAACCGUCCCCACACGGAAGCAUUCACAAGCACAACCCCCCCAACUGCGCCCCCUGCCCCAAAUCUCCCAGGCCACCGCUGGGAGAAGCGUUGAGUACAUUAGCCGCCCUUUGAGAAUUAUGCAUGAGACACAGUGUCAGCCCAGGGUACCAGACAUUCGGCAGUGUGCAUGUUCCGAACCCAUUUUAGACCCAGUGACGGUGACCCCAUAUUGCUCGGUGCAGAAUGUCAUUACAUGCUCAAUUACUGGUUUACCUAUUGUUUGAGGAGAAGAGAAAAUAAACAAAGGGCCUUUCUCAUCUGACAAGCCGGAGGAAAAUGUCUGUCCUAGCAGCGGCCAGGAUGAGAGCCGCUGAGGGCCCCUGGGCCAGAGGUUCGGUGGUGGGGGCCAUCUCCAAGGCCUGCGCGUACCCAGCCUCGGGUCAGUUUCACUCGGUGAACACCGCUUCCCGGUGUCUGCCUGGGGAAGGCCCUGUCUCCCUCAAGUGCGUCUCCUAGACAUUCCACAAGUGCGGUUUUUAGAAUUGGGAAGUUGUUGGACAGACUGGACCUGUAUUCCCUUCCCCUUACUGCUUUCAAGGGGAGAUAGGAAGCAAAAGAAUAGCUGCCCUGAAUGGGCUUUAGCCUUGACCUUGGUCCCAUCUCCAGUCUCGGGGGUUUGCUCACUGCUCCCCAUCAGCCCUGGAGGUGCAGGCUCUGAUUUACAGAUGAGGAAACGGGGCACAGAGAGCCAGAAACUCGUCCAAAGUCACUCGAGUGGGAGCUGGGGCGGGGUCUGGCUCCAAGCUUCUCAUUCUUAGCCACUCUGCCCACGGCAAGCCGCAUGCUUUAGGAAUAGCCCCUUUGCCCUAGAGCAGCGGUUCUCAGCCUUCCUAAUGCCACGACCCCUUCAUACAGUUCCUCAUGUUGUGGUGACC
Long non-coding RNA from Hipposideros armiger (great roundleaf bat), 5373 nucleotides. RefSeq lists it as uncharacterized. NCBI's taxonomy places the organism in Eukaryota, Metazoa, Chordata, Mammalia, Chiroptera, Hipposideridae. The transcript has 3 exons. The record is from RefSeq and is a predicted model, not a curated record.